Long non-coding RNA from Cervus elaphus (red deer), 540 nucleotides. RefSeq lists it as uncharacterized. The transcript is spliced from 3 exons. NCBI's taxonomy places the organism in Eukaryota, Metazoa, Chordata, Mammalia, Artiodactyla, Cervidae. The record is from RefSeq and is a predicted model, not a curated record.
CUUCACACCACUCUUCACUCUCCAGGCUCCAGGACUCAGCUGCAAAUUUGGGAAGGUUUUCUUGAGCCACCCCUGUUCCCCUCCCCGCUUUGUGGAGGACUCUGCCUCAUAAGAUUCCAAAACCCAGGAGGGAGCCAAGAACAGGAGGAGAGGUGGUGUCCUAACCAAUGGGGCCAGAGCAAGAGGAGUUUGGUCUUGUUGUGCAAGGCACACCAAGUGAGAUCUUAGUUCCCCAACCAUGGAUUGAACCCUGUGCCCUCUGCAUUGGAAAUGCAGAGUCUUAACCACUGCACCACCACAGAAGUCUCUGUUAGGAUUAGUCUCCUUUACAGUCCUCCUUGUAUUUUAUCACUAGAUGGCGGCAAUGCUCCCUUAACCAAUUUAAAUGAAAAGGAACAACUUUCUGGAGGAGUUGAAAUUAGUGAAGGCUUAUCCAAUACCUGUGUGGAUCAGCUGGUAAAGAAUUCACCUGCAAUGCAAGAGACCUGGGUUCAAUCCCUGGGUUGGGAAGAUCCUCUGGAGAAGGAAAUGACAACCAAC